AGGAUGAACGCUGGCGGCGUGCCUAACACAUGCAAGUCGAACGUCCUGUCUCGCAAGAGGCAGGGAGUGGCGGACGGGUGAGUACCACGUGGGUUAUCUACCGUGAGGUGAGGAAUACCGGCGAGAAAUCGCCGACAAGACCGCAUAGGCUCGAUGCAAGUCGAGCAAAGCUCGCUCGCAAGAGGGAGCGCCACACGAGGAGCCUGCGCCCGAUUAGCUAGCUGGUGGAGUAACGGUUCACCAGGGCGACGAUCGGUAGCUGGUCUGAGAGGACGAUCAGCCACACUGGGAUUGAGAACGGCCCAGACUCCUACGGGGGGCAGCAGUGAGGAAUUUUCGUCAAUGGGGGCAACCCUGAACGAGCAACGCCGCGUGCAGGAAGAAGGUUUUCGGAUCGUAAACUGCUUUUCUCGGGGAAGAGAACGGACGGUACCCGAGGAAGAAGCCCCGGCUAACUACGUGCCAGCAGCCGCGGU
This 476-nucleotide ribosomal RNA is filed under the name uncultured bacterium. RNAcentral's name for it is "SSU rRNA". It matches the Rfam family "Bacterial small subunit ribosomal RNA", at positions 26 to 521 of the family's 1533-position model. The record is from RNAcentral.